Molecule: ribosomal RNA, 473 nt
Filed under: uncultured bacterium
Lineage: Bacteria
Description: bacterial SSU rRNA
Rfam family: Bacterial small subunit ribosomal RNA
Source: RNAcentral
ACUCCUACGGGAGGCAGCAGUAGGGAAUCUUCCAUAAUGGGCGCAAGCCUGAUGGAGCAACACCGCGUGAGUGAAGAAGGGUUUCGGCUCGUAAAGCUCUGUUGUUAAAGAAGAACACGUAUGAGAGUAACUGUUCAUACGUUGACGGUAUUUAACCAGAAAGUCACGGCUAACUACGUGCCAGCAGCCGCGGUAAUACGUAGGUGGCAAGCGUUAUCCGGAUUUAUUGGGCGUAAAGAGAGUGCAGGCGGUUUUCUAAGUCUGAUGUGAAAGCCUUCGGCUUAACCGGAGAAGUGCAUCGGAAACUGGAUAACUUGAGUGCAGAAGAGGGUAGUGGAACUCCAUGUGUAGCGGUGGAAUGCGUAGAUAUAUGGAAGAACACCAGUGGCGAAGGCGGCUACCUGGUCUGCAACUGACGCUGAGACUCGAAAGCAUGGGUAGCGAACAGGAUUAGAUACCCUGGUAGGAUAGCG